CCUACGGGCGGCUGCAGUAAGGAAUAUUGGUCAAUGGAGGAAACUCUGAACCAGCCAUCCCGCGUGAAGGAUGAAGGGGCUCUGCCUUGUAAACUUCUUUUGUCUGGGGCGAAAAAGCUCGAUUUAUCGAGAACUGACGGUACCAGAAGAAUAAGCACCGGCUAACUCCGUGCCAGCAGCCGCGGUAAUACGGAGGGUGCAAGCGUCAUCCGGAAUCACUGGGUUUAAGGGGUCCUUAGACGGCAGAGGAGAAAGGGUGUGGCUUAACCAUGGAAUUGCCAGUGAGACUGCAGAGCUUGAAGGAGGUUGAGGUUGGCGGAAUGUGACAUGUAGCGGUGAAAUGCUUAGAUAUGUCAUGGAACACCGAUUGCGAAGGCAGCUGACUGGACCUAUAUUGACGCUGAGGCACGAAAGCGUGGGGAGCGAACAGGAUUAGAUACCCGUGUAGUC
Molecule: ribosomal RNA, 450 nt
Filed under: uncultured bacterium
Lineage: Bacteria
Description: partial 16S ribosomal RNA
Rfam family: Bacterial small subunit ribosomal RNA
Source: RNAcentral